Long non-coding RNA from Xenia sp. Carnegie-2017, 593 nucleotides. RefSeq lists it as uncharacterized. The record is from RefSeq and is a predicted model, not a curated record. The transcript is spliced from 2 exons. NCBI's taxonomy places the organism in Eukaryota, Metazoa, Cnidaria, Anthozoa, Malacalcyonacea, Xeniidae.
CUCAACAGUAGUCUUAUCAUGGAAACACGGCAGUCUAUCAGAAGACCUAUUGGGAAGAGCUAGGAGAAGCACGUGCUUACAAAGCAGCAGUCCCAAGCAUCUGAAUUUUCCAAAAAACUUCAGCCUUGUCAAUCAUCGAUGUCGACCAGGUUGUCACGAGGUCAAACUGAAAGUUAGGUAUGCUGAGAUCAAAGUUGAAACGGUAGUCGUCGGCUGCAGGAAAAGCCCAUUCCCAUCGAACGCACGAAGCGUUUUCAUCCUUGGCCAGGGAUACGUAAGGCAAUGCGUAAACGGCUAUAAACCAAUCAUGGCGUACCAGGCAAACGUACAGUAUGAUGACGAUGACAAACUUGUUUUUAAACAGGGCAAAGGCGUGCUGAUUGACUGCAUGAAGGCAGAUUAAUAUCAAGUCGAAUACAAGAAAGAUUAUUCACUUCAACAUUGAUAUAGUUAGGAAGCUAUUGAAAUUAGACUAUUUUUUAUGCCAAAUUACGUAUUUGUUCGACGAAAUCUACAAACUUGUAGCGUAUACAAAAAGUUACCAAAAUUAUUUAUGUAAGACAUCUCUGCAUUAAAAAAUGACAUCGAAACAA